AGGUGGAAACGCCUCAGUUGAGGUCGCAGGAAUCUGAGCACCAAGAAGACAAGUUGGAUGAACCUCAUGAAAAUAUGAGUUCUCAACCAGAGUUCUCGGAAGAGAAGAGGGAAACUCCUCAACUGGUCUUGAAAGAAUCUGAGCCCCAAGGAGAUAAGGUGAGGAAUUAGGUAAUAAAGAUCAUUCUGUAAUCUGGUUUCUUUUUAUUUGCAUAUCUGGUCUGGUCUCUUAUUUCUCCAACU
Bombina bombina (fire-bellied toad) is the source of this 242-nucleotide long non-coding RNA. RefSeq lists it as uncharacterized. The record is from RefSeq and is a predicted model, not a curated record. The transcript has 3 exons. NCBI's taxonomy places the organism in Eukaryota, Metazoa, Chordata, Amphibia, Anura, Bombinatoridae.